GGAAUGAUUGCAAGAUGGUUCUGUCUUAACAUUUGGUGAGUACCCUAUCCUGGUGUCUAGCAGAAUGUAGGGGUGGCAAUCAGGUUGGGCUGGAUUAUAUAUAGGUUGGUUAGAUACAAGUUAGGUCAAAAAUCUGUUGACUCGAACUCAACCUAUUUAUUAAGCAGGUUAAAAAUUUAGGCCUUAACUUGGCUAUUUUGUUUAACAGAUAAUCUGACCUGACCUACACUGGAUUGAAUCAAGUUAAAUAGGUUAAAUAGGUUAAAGUAUUUCUAUCCCUAGUGGGAUGUCCCACCAGAAUUUGAGAGCAUGCUUUUAUCCCUCUUCAUGACAUUUGGUCAAUUAGUACAAUUUAAAGGCAAAAGGAUGUAUAGCAAUAUCUUAAAUACCAAACCUCUCAAAAAAUCAUGGUGACUAUUUAUAAUGUAAACAUCUUGCUGUUGCAUCCAAACACAAGAAAUUGUCUUAUAACCAAAAGGGACUUGAAAUGAUAUGACUUCAGUUGUUAAAGGUGUUUGCGUUGCCUAAGUACCCCAUCACUUUGACAUUUGUCACUUACAUGGAUCCUAGGCAAGGUGGUUGCUGCCUUGCCAGUGUGCCCAGUUGGUGCUAGGAGGGCACCUUGGUUCCUAAAAGACUACCUUCUGAUUUGGGCUAGCACCCUGAUCGCCACUUAUUACCUAAGGGUGAUUUAUGUGAUAUUGCUUCUACUUUUGUUAAAAGAAUAACGAAUCAAGUCAAACGUUCUGUAAGUGUAGUUUGCAUUGUUUUUGAAGAUUGUAGUAUUAAAAGUUGGUGUUUAAUCUACUUUUCUUCUUUGGAAAAUGCAUUCUCUUGCUUCUCUCCAAAUAUGGUCAGGCAUUCAUUAGCUGGGUCUGGGUUAGGCCGAGCUUCAGCCUGGCUUUAUGCAGCCUACAUCCUAGACUUCGUAGCUUGAGCCCAUCUGAAGUCAGGGCUUGAGCUGGUGCCUAGUUUAUUCUGCAUAGCAUUGUCUUGACCAUGGUGGCAUCAUUGCCUAUCCAGGGCCACAUUAUAGAAAGAGAAUGCUGGAUAUUAGGCUGGUUGUGACAGGAAGAGAGUGGUAGCUGUGAGGAUGCCUGUAACAGUGGUGGGUAAAAGGAAGGGGACAUACUGAAUAAUGGUGUAGAGAGGAUAUUUGUGGUGGUGAGGAAAGAUGUGGUGAGGGUUAAACUAAUGGUAACGAGCAGAUUGUGACAUUGCUUUGGAGCCAAUC
RNAcentral lists this long non-coding RNA (1234 nucleotides) under Elaeis guineensis (African oil palm). Its description in RNAcentral is "long non-coding RNA (EGUI_LNC066599)". The record is from RNAcentral. Lineage: Eukaryota; Viridiplantae; Streptophyta; Magnoliopsida; Arecales; Arecaceae.